Non-coding RNA from Elaeis guineensis (African oil palm), 791 nucleotides. Lineage: Eukaryota; Viridiplantae; Streptophyta; Magnoliopsida; Arecales; Arecaceae. The record is from RefSeq and is a predicted model, not a curated record.
GGAUUGUUGGAUAAACUGUCGAAGCCUCGGGUUCACCCUAUCCUCCUCUUCGCCAUGAACAAGAAGGAUCCGUAUCGGCGAAUAAGAGCUUAAGCAUGAAAAGCACCAUAAGCGUGGUCAUGGUAAUAGAUCAUCUUAUGGUGCAUACCGGGUUAAGCCAUAGGGUCCAGUCCUCACUCUUUCCUCGAACAAUCUCCAAGGAGCAUACAUACCUCUGUCUUCAUCCUGGAAUGUUAUCAAAGAAGCUAGAUUGACGUUAGAAAUCUUUGGUGAUAAUAAUAUAUGAUGGAGAAUAAACCUACCAGCCGAGGGAAUAGAGUCCGGGGAACGGUGGAAUUCCAGUUCCAGCGCCGAUCAUGAUUAGGAGAGGAGUUACCAUGAUCAUUUCCAGCUCUCAUCCUUCAGCUGCAGUUGGAACCCCAAUCCCUGGCAAUAUGGAAAUGAAUGCUUGAGCUCUGUGAUGUCGUUUUUAUCCUUUGUGGGUGUACAAGAAAGAAUCUGCUUUUCUUUCCACUUCUGAUGACCAAUGACUUGAGGCACGCAAAAAGGAGUAUUCUCCUUCAGCCGGUGGAUGCUCCAGAUCUUUAUCAAGUGUCUGUGAGAAUAUGAAAUCAAAUUCUGGAAAGAAGCUUCAAUAUAACAACAAAAGUUAUGCCAUGACAUGUCAUAUAUUAAUGAUCUUUUGCAGCUACCCAUGUAGAAAUGGAUGUGAUCAUGAGCUUGAACCGAUCUUUACCUUGCACCAUGUAUUCAAAAAAAGUUAUAUAGCUAUGAAUUGUGAGAUGACUUAA